AUACGUAGGGGGCGAGCGUUGUCCGGAAUGAUUGGGCGUAAAGGGCGCGUAGGCGGCCCGGUAAGUCUGGAGUGAAAGUCCUGCUUUUAAGGUGGGAAUUGCUUUGGAUACUGUCGGGCUUGAGUGCAGGAGAGGUAAGUGGAAUUCCCAGUGUAGCGGUGAAAUGCGUAGAGAUUGGGAGGAACACCAGUGGCGAAGGCGACUUACUGGACUGUAACUGACGCUGAGGCGCGAAAGCCAGGGGAGCGAACGGGAUUAGAUACCCCGGUAGUCCUGGCCGUAAACGAUGAAUGCUAGGUGUGGGUGUCGAGAGGCAUCCGUGCCGGAGUUAACGCGAUAAGCAUUCCGCCUGGGGAGUACGAUCGCAAGAUUGAAACUCAAAUGAAUUGGCGGGG
RNAcentral lists this ribosomal RNA (395 nucleotides) under uncultured bacterium. RNAcentral's name for it is "partial 16S ribosomal RNA". It matches the Rfam family "Bacterial small subunit ribosomal RNA", at positions 523 to 918 of the family's 1533-position model. The record is from RNAcentral.